This 1486-nucleotide ribosomal RNA is filed under the name Stachybotrys parvispora. RNAcentral describes it as "bacterial SSU rRNA". The stretch from base 861 to 1486 matches the Rfam family "Eukaryotic large subunit ribosomal RNA", at positions 1 to 654 of the family's 3401-position model. The record is from RNAcentral. Lineage: Eukaryota; Fungi; Ascomycota; Sordariomycetes; Hypocreales; Stachybotryaceae.
CCUUAGAUGUUCUGGGCUGCACGCGCGUUACACUGACGGAGCCAGCGAGUACUUCCUUGACCGAGAGGUCCGGGUAAUCUUGUUAAACUCCGUCGUGCUGGGGAUAGAGCAUUGCAAUUAUUGCUCUUCAACGAGGAAUCCCUAGUAAGCGCAAGUCAUCAGCUUGCGUUGAUUACGUCCCUGCCCUUUGUACACACCGCCCGUCGCUACUACCGAUUGAAUGGCUCAGUGAGGCGUUCGGACUGGCCCAGAGAGGUGGGCAACUACCACUCAGGGCCGGAAAGUUCUACAAACUCGGUCAUUUAGAGGAAGUAAAAGUCGUAACAAGGUCUCCGUUGGUGAACCAGCGGAGGGAUCAUUACUGAGUUUACAACUCCCAAACCCAAUGUGAACAUACCUAUCGUUGCUUCGGCGGGAACGCCCCGGCGCGACCUCACGGUCUUGCCCGGAACCAGGCGCCCGCCGGAGAACCCAAACUCUUGAUUUCCCGCACAGCGGCAGUAAUUUUCUGAGUAUAAACGCAAAAUAAAUUAAAACUUUCAACAACGGAUCUCUUGGCUCUGGCAUCGAUGAAGAACGCAGCGAAAUGCGAUAAGUAAUGUGAAUUGCAGAAUUCAGUGAAUCAUCGAAUCUUUGAACGCACAUUGCGCCCGCUAGCACUCUAGCGGGCAUGCCUGUCCGAGCGUCAUUUCAACCCUCAGACCCCCUUCGGGGGGACUGGUGUUGGGGAUCGGCCCGCCCUGGCGCGGCGCCGUCCCCUAAAUCUAGUGGCGGUCUCGCUGCAGCCUCCCCUGCGUAGUAGCACACCUCGCAUUGGAGAGCGGCGCGGCCAUGCCGUUAAACCCCCAACUUCUGAACGUUGACCUCGGAUCAGGUAGGAAUACCCGCUGAACUUAAGCAUAUCAAUAAGCGGAGGAAAAGAAACCAACAGGGAUUGCCUCAGUAACGGCGAGUGAAGCGGCAACAGCUCAAAUUUGAAAUCUGGCCCUAGGCCCGAGUUGUAAUUUGCAGAGGAUGCUUUUGAUGAGGUACCUUCCGAGUCCCUUGGAACAGGGCGCCAUAGAGGGUGAGAGCCCCGUCUGGUUGGAUACCGAAUCUCUGUAAAGCUCCUUCGACGAGUCGAGUAGUUUGGGAAUGCUGCUCUAAAUGGGAGGUAUAUGUCUUCUAAAGCUAAAUACCGGCCAGAGACCGAUAGCGCACAAGUAGAGUGAUCGAAAGAUGAAAAGCACUUUGGAAAGAGAGUUAAACAGCACGUGAAAUUGUUGAAAGGGAAGCGUUUACGACCAGACUUAGGCUCGGUUGAUCAAUCAGCGUUCUCGCUGGUGCACUCUGCCGGCCUAGGCCAGCAUCAGUUCGUCUCGGGGGAUAAAGGCGUCGGGAAUGUAGCUCCCUCGGGAGUGUUAUAGCCCUUCGUGCAAUACCCUGAGGUGGACUGAGGUUCGCGCUCUGCAAGGAUGCUGGCGUAAUGGUCGUCAACGACCCGUCU